GGGGCCAUGGUGUAGUUUGGUCUAGCAUCUGAGCUUUGGGAGCUUAAGACCCGAGUUCAAAUCUCGGUGGCCCCA
This 75-nucleotide transfer RNA is filed under the name Thermoplasmatales archaeon. RNAcentral's name for it is "tRNA-Pro". It matches the Rfam family "tRNA". From Rfam's summary of the family: Transfer RNA (tRNA) molecules are approximately 80 nucleotides in length. Their secondary structure includes four short double-helical elements and three loops (D, anti-codon, and T loops). The record is from RNAcentral. Lineage: Archaea; Methanobacteriati; Thermoplasmatota; Thermoplasmata; Thermoplasmatales.